GGAAACAGUUGGCCAGUGAAAUAAUCUCAAAAAUUAGCAGUUUAUGACCUUUCAGACUGGGAGACUUUGAGAUCUUUCAGAAGUCUGCCCUAUGAUCACUUUUUUUAACUAUUUGAGCCAAAAUAUCUAUAAAUUAUUUGAGUAAUUAAAUAACACAGAAAACUCACACAUCACAUUGUACUGAGAUAAUUUAAAAGCAUAUUGAAGGAAAACACUAAGAUUUAUAAUAACCCUGGUAAACGAGAAAAAUUAUUUAAAGAGCGUAAGAUAAAUUCAAUUAGAACCACAGCAAAGCACUGCCCAUAGUAAAGAGAAAUAAAGAGCUUAAAUACAAAGGGAAACAAACUAUCAGAUUAUACCAGGGAAAAUUCUGGUCGUUAAGAUUAAACCUGAAUAAGAGCCAGCUUAUUCUAAACUGUAUUAACAGAAAUAUUGUAAAUCUGAAAUGGAGAAAAUUGCUCUGCUUUUCAUCAUCCUAGUGAGAGCCUAGCUAGAACCCUGACUGUAGUUUGGGCUGUCUGCUUAAGGCAGACAAAAGCAAAUUACCAAAUCCUGAAGAGAACAUUAAGAGUCAAAGGUUUAAAAAUGUGAACUAAAAGGAAAUGCUGCACAAAUUCAGCAAGGUUAGUCUAGAGAAGAGGGGUCUUACACGUAACAUGACAACAGCUCUGUAACAUGAAAGCUGGUAAAAGUGCUACAGCGAUAAAUUUUUCUCCUGUUUCACGGGGAAGAGGAAGAAGAGAAACAAACUUUGGCUGCUGAAGAGAUUUCAGAUGGAGUCUGAAAAAGAAAUUUCUAAUUCACAGUGUUUCUGUGUCUCUCAUUAGUGUCCAGGGAAGUUGUGUCACUGCUUAGACAGAAAGGGACAAAACAACUGUCAUUAACGCUCUCACUGAAAGAAGACAAGCUGGAUAAAAAGGUCCCUUUCUAGUGCUACACUUCUGAGAUUUAUUCCCUGCCUGAAAGGAAAGCUCUCCAUAAAGGAAGUUAAUAACCCUGGUCUGCCUGCCUUCCUGAGACAGGACAUCACUCAGAUGCUGGUACAAAUUCAUUGGCUAUACAUAUAUCUCUUGCAAUAUUUAUUCAUUUUCCUGCUGUCAGUAGUGACAAAUUGUUUCCUUGCAUUCUUGGGUUAGAAAUGAGCUGCUUUUUUUUUUUUCUUAUAUACCUCCCAACACCUUAGUCACAUCCAUAGCAGUUACAGAACUCAGAGCAACAGCAUUUUAUUAAAUAUGUAGCAACAAAAAUCACUGUAAAAUAUCAAGGCUAAAGAAGAAUCUUCAUGAAGCCUUCAACAAAUCCGCUCAUAUCCCAUCACAGUUUUUUUUUUAAAUUAAAAAAACAAAACCAAUGAUAACAAGCUCAACAAAACAACAAAACCAACUCCCCUAUUGUUCUAUGACUAUACAUAAAGAAUUUUAAUAGUGCAAAAAUAAAACAUGGGCAAGAAUAUUUUUCA
This 1459-nucleotide long non-coding RNA is filed under the name Parus major (Great Tit). RNAcentral describes it as "lncRNA (ENSPMJG00000003527.1)". Lineage: Eukaryota; Metazoa; Chordata; Aves; Passeriformes; Paridae. The record is from RNAcentral.